This 497-nucleotide ribosomal RNA is filed under the name uncultured bacterium. RNAcentral describes it as "partial 16S ribosomal RNA". It matches the Rfam family "Bacterial small subunit ribosomal RNA", at positions 28 to 507 of the family's 1533-position model. The record is from RNAcentral.
GAUGAACGCUGGCGGCGUGCCUAAUACAUGCAAGUCGAGCGAACAGAUGAGGAGCUUGCUCCUCUGACGUUAGCGGCGGACGGGUGAGUAACACGUGGAUAACCUACCUAUAAGACUGGGAUAACUUCGGGAAACCGGAGCUAAUACCGGAUAAUAUAUUGAACCGCAUGGUUCAAUAGUGAAAGACGGUUUUGCUGUCACUUAUAGAUGGAUCCGCGCCGCAUUAGCUAGUUGGUAAGGUAACGGCUUACCAAGGCGACGAUGCGUAGCCGACCUGAGAGGGUGAUCGGCCACACUGGAACUGAGACACGGUCCAGACUCCUAUGGGAGGCAGCAGUAGGGAAUCUUCCGCAAUGGGCGAAAGCUUGACGGAGCAACGCCGCGUGAGUGAUGAAGGUCUUCGGAUCGUAAAACUCUGUUAUUAGGGAAGAACAAAUGUGUAAGUAACUAUGCACGUCUUGACGGUACCUAAUCAGAAAGCCACGGCUAACUACGUG